RNAcentral lists this ribosomal RNA (236 nucleotides) under uncultured bacterium. RNAcentral's name for it is "partial 16S ribosomal RNA". It matches the Rfam family "Bacterial small subunit ribosomal RNA", at positions 99 to 334 of the family's 1533-position model. The record is from RNAcentral.
CGCACGGGUGAGUAACGCGUAUGCAACUUACCUAUCAGAGGGGGAUAACCCGGCGAAAGUCGGACUAAUACCGCAUGAAGCAGGGGCCCCGCAUGGGGAUAUUUGCUAAAGAUUCAUCGCUGAUAGAUAGGCAUGCGUUCCAUUAGGCAGUUGGCGGGGUAACGGCCCACCAAGCCGACGAUGGAUAGGGGUUCUGAGAGGAAGGUCCCCCACAUUGGUACUGAGACACGGACCAA